Molecule: ribosomal RNA, 253 nt
Filed under: uncultured bacterium
Lineage: Bacteria
Description: partial 16S ribosomal RNA
Rfam family: Bacterial small subunit ribosomal RNA
Source: RNAcentral
UACGAAGGGGGCUAGCGUUGUUCGGAAUCACUGGGCGUAAAGAGCGUGUAGGCGGCCUGAAAGGUCAGCUGUGAAAACUCGAGGCUCAACCUCGAGACGUCGGUUGAAACCAUCUGGCUAGAGUCCGGAAGAGGAGUGUGGAAUUCCCGGUGUAGCGGUGAAAUGCGCAGAUAUCGGGAAGAACACCAGUGGCGAAGGCGGCUCACUGGCCCGGUACUGACGCUGAGGUGCGAAAGCGUGGGGAGCAAACAGG